CGGCUCACGGCCGCUCCCCCCAGAGGGCGGAAACCUCCCCUGCUUCCCUUCUGGGUGCUCCCGCUGGUCUAAUGGUUAAACUGACGUCACCCACGAGUGGGGGAGAAACAAACAUUUAGCUUAACGACACGUGGGAGACGUGCGGAGAAAGCAGGUGGGGCUCCCAGAGGGGCGGCCGUCGCCCUCAUGCAGGUUGCGGCCAAGAGCGGGUGUGGGGUGGGGGGGUCCCCAGGGCGGCGGCCCGGGAGAGCACAGCGGGCGGGGCAGGGUGCAUGCGCCAGUCCUUGGCCACUGCACUGGACACCGGGGGAUCCCCGUCCUGGUCCCCAGAGGGAGGCACCUUAGGAACAGGUCUCCCCGUGAACGUCGACGCCUCUUCAGAGCUUCUCUGGUCUCUGCCAGUCUUGAAAAGCACAAGCAGGGCCGCCUGUGAUUUGCGUUCCCUGAUGGCUCACGACGGCACCUCUUCAUGGUUAGUGCCCCCCGUGCAUGUCUUCUUUGGACAAGUGUCGCAUUCGGGUCCUUUGUCUGUUUUUAAUUGGAUUAUUUGUCCGUGUUUUAAAUCCAGUUGUAAGUGUUUUUUAUAUUUUCUAGAUGUAAGGCCCUCCUGGGACACGUGAUGUACCCGUGCUUUCUCCCGGCCUGCGGGCCAUUUCCUCACUUCCUCCUUGCAGUUCUUUGAAGCACCAGCUGUUUAAUCCUGAUGAAGUUCUGUUUAGAUAUUGAUUGUCGCUCAUGCUUUUGCUGUCGUAUAUAAGAAACCACUGCCUGAGCCAAAGUCGUCAAGGUGACACUACCUGGUUUUUGUUUGAAAUCAUUUUGUCAAAAAAAAAAAAAAAAAAGAAAUCAUUUUGUCAUUUCGAAAAGUGUUUGCGGUACGGGCGCCUGGCUGGGUGGGUUGGGCGGAGCACGCGACUUCUGAUCGCAGGGUUGCGAGUUCGAGCCCCACGUCGGGUGUAGAGAAUACCACUAUUAUUAAAAAUAAAACCUUAAAGGGGCACCUGGGGGGCUCA
Molecule: long non-coding RNA, 1013 nt
Filed under: Canis lupus dingo (dingo)
Lineage: Eukaryota; Metazoa; Chordata; Mammalia; Carnivora; Canidae
Description: lncRNA (ENSCAFG00020016820.1)
Source: RNAcentral